This 842-nucleotide unclassified non-coding RNA is filed under the name Hevea brasiliensis (rubber tree). Lineage: Eukaryota; Viridiplantae; Streptophyta; Magnoliopsida; Malpighiales; Euphorbiaceae. The record is from RNAcentral.
GGGGAAGAGUGGGAGAGGAAGAAGAUUCGAUUUUUAACCAUAUAUAACUAGACCAUAUCUCUCUAUCAGGUAAUUUCUGUGGACAGAGUCUAUUUUCUUGGACUGCUAUUGUCAACUGAUCGGUGAAUAGAGGAAGAAUUUAUAUAUCUAUAAAAUGUUUUGAUUUGAUGCUUGAUCAUUUGGUUAUUUUCUUGUUUUGAUUCUUUGAUUUGGGUUCUCAUAUUAAAAUGCAGAUUAUCUCCAGAGCAUGAUUGUAGUUGGAUUUUUGUUUAGAAUAGCAUCAUAUGAUAAAUGUGAAUUGAUUCAUAGGUUAUUGAAUCAAAAUGAUUUUAUUUUGUGAUCCAAGAUAUAAUGGAACUUAUGAUUCAUUUCUUAAAUUGAUAUAUCUAAGCUAUAACUGUCUUUGAGAAAAGACAUUGCUUUUCUGCAGUUAGUUUCCUCAUAUUUUCAGAUACACAUUCUGAUUUGAUUGUCCCGGAAUUUGGGGGAUUGUUGAUUCUGGGAUGGGGUUUGCCAAAGCUGCAAUGGGAAUAAAAGGAUUUCUGGUGGGUGAGUUGAUGGUAUUUCGUUUGUUUACAUUAGUUUAUUAGUUGAAUAUACAUGUAUAAUCUUAGUUCUGGAAACUAGGUGGUUUUUGGUCAUGAUUGGAAAUUCCUUAAACCUUAUUAUCUGAUUAAUGAUUUGAUUUGUGGUCUUUUGACACUAGAACUUGCUCAUGCGUUGUUGGGUAUUUGAGUGUUGAAUCACUCUGGUUUUGAAUAUUGUCAAAGUGUAUGAAAUUUUUGUUUACUGGUGUAGUAGGUUGAAAGUGAGAAAAUAAAUGAACAAGAAUGACUAUUUUC